This 1526-nucleotide long non-coding RNA is filed under the name Nicotiana benthamiana. RNAcentral describes it as "long non-coding RNA (NBEN_LNC007632)". The record is from RNAcentral. Lineage: Eukaryota; Viridiplantae; Streptophyta; Magnoliopsida; Solanales; Solanaceae.
GGAUUGAUUUGGGUAGAGGUUCAAAAGAACCUAGUUCCAAGUCAUGGAUAAAAAUAAUAGGGUAUUUCCAUGACUGGAACUACACCGUUCAUGCCGAAGGGGGCAAAGGGAAGGGAUAAAGAAAAGCAUCUACAAAAACACGAGGAAAGCAAGAAAGCAUAACAAACUAAGGGUGCAAAAGCAUAAGUAACGAGAGCAUAACAGACUGGAUGAACACAUAGUGCAAGAGAGCAUGGCAUAAAAUAAACACAUAGUUUAGAGGGUAUUAUUUAACUAGCGGGACAUAGCAGUUGCAGGUUUAGAACAGCAAACAACAAAAGCAAACAAAUAGCCAGCAGUCAGCAGGAUCAAUUCCUCCGCAAGUAUUGAGAGUUCAAGGGGAGCUCAAGAAUGCUCCAAACAGUAAAGAGAAAAGGAACAGGGUGCUCAGUAAAGAAAGUAAUAGUAUAGAAGGUAUUUGAAAGUUAGAAAUAUUCAAAAAUGUGUUCUUAAUCUAAAGUCUUUGUGUGUGUUAUAGCCAAGGUAUCCCCAAGUGCAGAAGGAGUUCUGUCUUUUAUAAUGCAGAAAACGAGUAAUCAAGGUAAGAAAAUAACUUUCAGUCAAUCAUAUAAAGAUCUCCCCUAGGUUAAGGGAUUUGAUUUCAAACGGGCACGGUACAAUUAAGGAAAUAAGAAUAAUUAGAAAUCUUUACAAAGUAUCAUAACAAGGGUAGGUACACAGAGUUUAUUUAAGGCAAGAAUCCUAUAGUACACGGUCUGAGAAAUAACGAAAGCAAAUCAAUCAGACAUCCAGAAAUUUAAAACCUUGUUUGCAUGAACUUUGUCAGAAAAGGAGGAGGAAAAGGUUUAGUUGGGAAAUCAGUAACAAUCACUCAAGCCUUAGUAAUAGGAAAUUGGAAUCAAUCACAAGUUGGCAGAACCAUUUUGAAAGGAAGGCUCUCAUAUAUAAAUCAUACAUGUAUCAAAUAAGAAAGAAAACACUGCAUAUAAAGUUUUCAAAUCACAAACAAAAGGAUUCCAUUUCAGUCAUAGACUAGCAUGGGUUUGAGAGAAUCCAGGGUUCUAGAGUAGAACCCCAGUCCAGUCACAAAGACCAAAACUUGCAAAAAUCCCAAACCUAGGGUUUCAGUUCGAGUAGGAUAUAGAGAGGCGAAGGCAAGCCCUCAAAAUAGAUUCAGGGAACUCUUUUCGAGUCUUGUGAGAAAGCACAGACACACAAACCAAGUUCGAAGCAGUAGAGAGGAAAAUCAUAAAGAACAGGUUUGAGAGAAAGCUUCGAACUCAAGCAAUUUUAGGAGAGAAAAGAGGUGACAUAGAACUUAGGAGACAUUAGAAAAAUAGUUUUAGAACCCAAACAAAGAUCCAGUAAAGGCAAUCAAAACGCAAUAAAAAAAUAGUAAAGGAGCACGUAAGAUAGACAUGUAAAGCAUGAUGUAGAAAACCAAUAGAAGGAAUAACAGAGCACAAAUAGAGAAACAUGCAUAUUAACGAAAAAACAUAAGAACAAGCAAGAACACAUAAGACACG